Molecule: ribosomal RNA, 901 nt
Filed under: Amalthea rubida
Lineage: Eukaryota; Rhodophyta; Florideophyceae; Halymeniales; Halymeniaceae
Description: partial 28S ribosomal RNA
Rfam family: Eukaryotic large subunit ribosomal RNA
Source: RNAcentral
UCCGCCAAGGAGUGUGUAACAACUCACCUGCCGAAUGAAUUAGCCCUGAAAAUGGAUGGCGCUUAAGCGGGCGACCGACACCAUGCCGUCUGUGUAAGAAAUCAGAUGAGUAGGAGGACGUGGCGGCCGUGUCGAAGCAUGCGUGCAGACGCGUGUGGAACAGCCGCUAGUGCAGAUCUUGGUGGUAGUAGCAAAUAUUCAAGCGAGAUCCUUGAAGGGCGAAGCGGGGAAGGGUUCCACGCGAACAUUGAUUGGGCGUGGGUGAGUCGUUCCUAAGCCGAGUGGCAAUUGCUAAGUAGCGGCGAAAGGGAAGCAGGUUGACAUUCCUGCACACGGAUGUGGAGGCGGUGACGCUUUAAUGAGGGCGAACACGCUGGCGAUGGCGCUGGGCAGAGUUUUCUUUUCUGUUUGACCGCUGAAGCACGCGGUGUGGAAUCCGCUUGUCGGGAGAAACACGCGUGUUCGGGCAGAGCGCCGGGGCUAUUCCGGCGUCCAGCUCGCCAUCGACGGCCCUUGAAACUUUGCCUGCUGGAAUUUUUUAUUAAGAUCCACGCCGUGGCGUACCGAUCACCGCAUCAGGUCCCCAAGGUGAACAGCCUCUGCUCGAUAUGAACAAUGCAGGUAAGGGAAGUCGGCAAAUUGGACCCGUAACUUUGGGAAAAGGGUUGGCUCUAGUGCUGCGUGGGAGUGGUUGUCGGGUGUUGGCGUUUUCGGACUUGCUGAGCGAGCGCGAUGGGCACUUCGGUGUUCUGUUGUGUUUAAUUGGCGAGUCUGGAUUCGCCACGCUCGACGACGCCCACAGCAUGCAGCAGACUAGAACUGCAACGGGCAAAGGGAAUCCGACUGUUUAAUUAAAACAAAGCAUUGCGAGGGCCGUGGCCGGUGAUGACGCAAUGUGAUU